GGCUCCAUAGUGCAGUGGUUAGCACGUCUGCUUUACAUGCAGAAGUUUCUAGGUUUGCACCCCAGGUGGAGCCA
Pteropus alecto (black flying fox) is the source of this 74-nucleotide non-coding RNA. Lineage: Eukaryota; Metazoa; Chordata; Mammalia; Chiroptera; Pteropodidae. The record is from Rfam.